Long non-coding RNA from Glycine soja, 503 nucleotides. RefSeq lists it as uncharacterized. The transcript is spliced from 3 exons. Lineage: Eukaryota; Viridiplantae; Streptophyta; Magnoliopsida; Fabales; Fabaceae. The record is from RefSeq and is a predicted model, not a curated record.
UAUUCUUUCCACAUUACUCUGUUUACUCUCGUCGCUGUGACACUGUUCAGCUCAGGGGAAUGAGAAUGGGAUAGUUAUUUAUUUAACAAUAUUGUUUGGCCGCGCUUCUCCUGUUACUUCUCCUCCAUGUGGUUCUCUCGGGGCCUAGUAAUGGGAUAAUUAGAGUUGGGUUGGAAAAGAACAAAUUUGAUCAAAGAAAAACGCUCAAAAGAAAUAUUGAUUCAGAAGAAGCAACAUUGAGAGAGGCCAGGCCUUUUGGUGGCUAUGAAAAUUCUGAUGACAUAAGUAUUAUUCGGUUAAAGAACUACAUGAAUGCUCAGUAUUUUGGGGGAGAUUGGUAUUGGUACUCCUCAGAAAUUUACUGUAAUAUUUGACACUGGAAGUUCCAAUCUUUGGGUGCCUUCCUCCAAGUGUUACUUUUCAGUUGCUUGCUAUUUGCACUCAAGAUACAAGUCAAGCCAAUCUAGCACUCAGAAUAAAAAUGGCAUAAUCCCUCAUUCUUG